GAUGAAGAACGUAGCGAAAUGCGAUAAGUAAUGUGAAUUGCAGAAUUCAGUGAAUCAUCGAAUCUUUGAACGCACAUUGCGCCCUUUGGUAUUCCGAAGGGCAUGCCUGUUCGAGCGUCAUUUCACCACUCAAGCCUGGCUUGGUAUUGGGCGCCGCAGUCGAUCCGCGCGCCUCAAAGUCUCCGGCUGAGCUGUCCGUCUCUAAGCGUUGUGAUUUCAUUAAUCGCUUCGGAGUGCGGGCGGCCGCGGCCGUUAAAUCUUUCACAAGGUUGACCUCGGAUCAGGUAGGGAUACCCGCUGAACUUAAGCAUAUCAAUAAGCGGAGGA
This 327-nucleotide unclassified non-coding RNA is filed under the name soil metagenome. RNAcentral's name for it is "partial contains 5.8S ribosomal RNA, internal transcribed spacer 2, and large subunit ribosomal RNA". The stretch from base 1 to 120 matches the Rfam family "5.8S ribosomal RNA", at positions 35 to 154 of the family's 154-position model. The record is from RNAcentral.